This is a long non-coding RNA of Xyrauchen texanus (razorback sucker), 192 nucleotides long. RefSeq lists it as uncharacterized. NCBI's taxonomy places the organism in Eukaryota, Metazoa, Chordata, Actinopteri, Cypriniformes, Catostomidae. The record is from RefSeq and is a predicted model, not a curated record. The transcript has 3 exons.
UAUAAGUGUAGAGUAUAGGUGUAGGUGUAUAGGUGUAGAGUAUAGAGUAUAGGUGUAUAGGUGUAGGUGUAGAGUAUAGGUGUAGAGUAUAGGUGUAGAGUAUAGGUGUAGAGUAUAGGUGUAGAGUAUAGGUGUAGAGUAUAGGUGUAGAGUAUAGGUGUAGAGUAUAGGUGUAGGUGUAUAGGUGUAUAG